UCCUCGAGAGAUUCUCUAUCGAUACAAAGUGGUCAAGAACAAGAAGUAUUUAUAGCCAUUUUCUCUGGGAAUACAGAUAGGCUAUUUGAGGGGUUCUUACACAUACUGACGUCUCAUGUAAAUAUCUCCCUUCCAUUUGAAAUCGAUAUUCGUCAAAGUGCA
RNAcentral lists this non-coding RNA (162 nucleotides) under Palpitomonas bilix. The record is from RNAcentral.